GUAAAUUUGUAUUGUAAUACUCGCGUUGAGAAAUACAACGACACUACUUUUUGUAGGUCGUUUCGCUUGUGUCAGGCCACCACAGGAAUGCGGUGAUGCAGCAACCGACCGUGCAGUGGCUUCAAUGGUCGAUGCAUGCAGGUAGAUGGAGCACUGUAUCGAAACGAGUAUACUUGGCAUUAUAAUGUAUAUGGAACGACACUGAAUCGUGAUGGCAAAACGUUUACAAGAUCUGUGGUGGUUGCUGGAGCCUGGAGCCAGCCUCUCAAGUAACAGUUGGCACCCCUGUCCUGCAUGAUUCUGAUGUCGGCCUCGAACGGCACAGUUGUGUGGAAAUGUAACGUCUUUGAGGGUUUGGGUGACCUGAUCUGACUGGAACAGCAACUCAGUUGACACCGCAUUGACCAGUGCAUAAUGCAAGCACAUGCCGCACAAGGAUUGUUUGUCGGUCCACCUGCACGCGUAGGCUCUCCCCGGAAUGAAAAUACCGUCGACAUGCAACACUGUGUUGCCAGUGCACCGCAAACAGUGAUACAGAUUUGAAUAAGAUAGCAACGGGAACUGUCUCAAGUACGUUGAAGUCUUCUAUGCAGCAAUUGCGGUUACCAAGCAGCAGAUUGGCUCGCAGGUGACAACUGUGGAACAGGCACAUAUAAACCAUGACAACGUACCUUUAUCACUCCGUUGUCCAAGUCCGACUCUUCGCUCCAUGCGCAUUGUUUCCAUUUGGCUUGGGCGGCACGCCCGUCUCUGCCUACUGGUCCAGGGACACCGACUGCUCCAGCAGGACCCCUUGGCCCAGCCGGACCUGAGAUGCCUUCCACACCGGGUGCUCCGACAGGCCCCAUUACUCCAGUCUCACCAGCCGGUCCAGAAGGACCCUGUGCUCCAUCCACGCCGUUCAGCCCGUUUCUGCCCGGAGCGCCUGGUUGACCAUUCAGGCCAGGCCAUCCCAUCAACAAGCCACCCACCUCCUGCAGUAGCCACGGCACAAGAGAAUAACACACAAAGUGAACAUGUUAGUAAAUUGACUUGGUUCUCUGCUGACUACAGAAGGUACGGAAGGCAUUGUGUAAUGGACUGCACUGUACAAUCGAAUAGUUUGACCAUCUUCUUGAGUUCCUAUUGCAGUUGUUUCUAUUUUAAGCUCUUUUUCUCUUUGUACACUGUCCUACACUACUUCGCUAUCGACGUCACCAGUACGUAUACAUGGUAUACUUUACAUAUCUGUUAUAGUGUGGUCGUGUAAAAGAAUAUACUGCCUACAAGAAUGAACUCUCAUAUUUUCAUAAUCAUAACAUGGGUUUCAGUUGUAUUAUUAUUAUUUUUAUUACACCUUCCAGUGGCUAAAGAUGAA
Molecule: long non-coding RNA, 1357 nt
Organism: Sycon ciliatum
Lineage: Eukaryota; Metazoa; Porifera; Calcarea; Leucosolenida; Sycettidae
Exons: 3
Source: RefSeq, a predicted model, not a curated record